RNAcentral lists this ribosomal RNA (305 nucleotides) under Physconelloides spenceri. Its description in RNAcentral is "partial 12S ribosomal RNA". Lineage: Eukaryota; Metazoa; Arthropoda; Insecta; Psocodea; Philopteridae. The record is from RNAcentral.
GCAAGUAGAGUAAUUAAUGAAAAAUAAAAAACAUGGCGGUUUUCUAUCAAAUUAGAGGUACAUGUAUUGAAAACGAAUUUGCACGAAUUACUGUUCUUUUUCUUGAAAUCAUUCUACAUACCGCUGUCUGAAAGGUUUUUUUAGAAAAAUAUCUUUUUUCUGGAUAUAAGGCAAGUAAAGGUGUAGAUUAUGGAAAAGAAAAUAUGUGUUCCAGUUUUACUAUUGGAGAGUAGAAAUAUUCAAAAGAGAAUUUAACAGUAAAAUUUGUUUAAAAAACAAACUUGAAUUGGAAAUGGAAAGUGUAC